Molecule: ribosomal RNA, 292 nt
Filed under: uncultured bacterium
Lineage: Bacteria
Description: partial 16S ribosomal RNA
Rfam family: Bacterial small subunit ribosomal RNA
Source: RNAcentral
GUGACAGCAGCCGCGGUAAAACGUAGGUGGCGAGCGUUAUCCGGAUUUACUGGGCGUAAAGCGCGUGCAGGCGGUCGGGCAAGUCGGGCAUUAAAUCUCUGGGCUUAACUCAGAGGCGCUGUCCGAUACUGUUCGGCUUGAGGAUGGUAGAGGGCGAUGGAAUUCCGCGUGUAGUGGUGAAAUGCGUAGAUAUGCGGAGGAACACCAGUGGCGAAAGCGGUCGCCUGGACCAAACCUGACGCUAAAGCGCGAAAGCGUGGGGAGCAAACAGGAUUAGAAACCCUCGUAGUCC